Molecule: long non-coding RNA, 6042 nt
Organism: Callithrix jacchus (white-tufted-ear marmoset)
Lineage: Eukaryota; Metazoa; Chordata; Mammalia; Primates; Cebidae
Source: RefSeq, a predicted model, not a curated record
UAAGAUUAGAAAGGAAAAAAAGAGCAGAAUUUUAUUGGUUGUUCAUUGAAAAUGUUAGCUGUGAUUAGUUACAUAAUCCUACAUUAACCUGUAAAUUAAAAUUCCUUGGUGCAAUUUGAUGGCUGAUUUAAUUUUGUCUUUCUUUGUUUGCCGCAGGCUAAUUCCAUUAUGAAUUCUUUAUACAGCCUUUUCCCUCAAUGAUUAGCAGCUUCUACUCAAGUUCUGAUUACUAUUGUACACUUAGCACUACAUAAAGCCGGGGAUUAAUAUUCCCCUGAAGAAUUGUUGCUAUGGAUCUGCUCUAUUCCUUCUAAGAGAUGUUUCUGCAGCUUCAAUUGUCCAUAAAUUAUGAUCUCUAGUGAAUUAUCAGUGGGAGUGAACUGAGCUUAACAAGCUGAAGAGUGCACUCUAGUUCGGAGAGAAAAAAGGCAAGGGAGAAAGAGAAAAAGAGAUUCUCAAUUAUUAAUUGUGAGGUUAGAUCAUUCAGAAGUGAUAUUUUUUCCAUCUCUAUCCUUGUAGACAUGUACAAAUUAGAAUGGGGUUGUGGGUUAAAACAGAUGCUUUAAAAUCUUUCAACAUGUAGUGAUUAUAACAUGCCAGAAGGUCUUAAUUACCUGUAAACAGGAAGAGAAAAGGCUGAUUCUGCUACCCAGUAACAUAGCAGGGUUAUAGGGUAUGUUUUAUUUUGGGAAGUGGCAUUGUCUUACUUCGCAAAGUGUGAUUUCUCCAUCUAUCAGUUUAGGAAUAUGUAUUAGGGUACUAUUGUUUUAAACCAUCACUGGGAAUAGCAGAAUGCUCAAAUAAAAUUCAUACAAGGAUUUUUCAAAAUGAGAAAAGUUUUUCUCAAGGAAGUGGUAUUUCCAGAUAAAGUUGAUCUGUAGCUUGGGAAGGGUCUCCAUUUUGCUGGGACUAAAAAUCAGGGUUUAGGUCAUUCUUGGGCAUGCUUCCCCUUGGGAAGUACAUCACAGGGGGUUGUGUGCAGGGCUUGUUUUGAAACUCAGCUUGGAUAAACCCAGCUAUCCAUUACUUCCACUCUGUAGCACUGUUUGCUGGAUGCUUGACAUGGGGCAGAAGCCCUUACUGGCUCAGACACUGGGACUGAGUUUAGCCAGAGAAACCCACUGAAAUCCAGUGGAGACCACCAAGCUAGCCGAAUUGCUUGCUUUUACCCACACACGUUCCAGGCCAAGAGAAAUAAAUAUCUGAAUAAUGUAUCAUGUAAAAGUAUUCUCUUUUCUUUCUUCUGUCUUUUCCUCUCACUUAAUUUCCUUCUUCCUUUUUACUUCCCUUCUCUUCUAAUUUUGUCUUUCUUCCCUCUGUCUCCCAUCCUUUCUCUACUUCAUUCUUCAGUCUUCUCUUUUGAGUUUCUCUGUUUAUUUUUUUAUUCCUCCCCCAGCCACUCUUCCCCAAAGAGCUACAAUACUGAAAAUAUGCUGGCAUUUUAAAGUUAAAGCAAAAAGGUGAAUUAUAUUGCUACUUGGAAGCCAGCUAAGGGCAGAGUCCUGAGGGAAGUGAGAUAAAAUAACGGAGUCUGAGAAAUGCACUUAACAGAACAGACACAGUGGAAAGAAUCUUUUCCAGGAAUUAUCACUUCCCGGUUUUCCAACUGCAAAGCAACAAAUCAUAUACCAAGUCAAGGCAAUGCUGUUAUUAGGGAGGUGGUUCCUUCCCAUCAUUCUUAAGUCAGAGUCUCAGAUUGUACUGAGCAGUUCCUGGAAGAGAAGGUAAUGUCUUCUUACCUUCUCUUCCUGAUAAAAUGUAAUUUUAUCAGGAGCCUGGCCUCUGCAGCACAAUUCAUGGCAGUUUGGGUACAUGCACAGGAAAGUACAGGUAUGCACACACUCACACACAUAUGCAUAUACACAUGCAAAUCCAUGCAACACUUCUGAGAGUGAAAAGAUGUCAUUAGUAUUUAAGCCAGGACAAUAGGCAUAUGUGACACCGUGCUUGGCAAACAGGUCACAUGGUCAUUUUAGCGUUAGUGAAGGAUUGCAGUCAAGGUCCCUGAAGAAGCCUUUCCGAGAGUCCUGUGUUCCCAUGUUUGCUUUUCCUUUUGGCUGCUGGGAAUCUGAGCUUCCCUUUCAUGUCUGAGGAAUUUGGCACCUGAUUGAUCUCAUUAGGAGUCAGGGACUGCUCUCCACUUUUUACUGAAACCCAUUUGCUUUCAGGGUACAAAUAUAGGACCAUAAUUUGCCCAGCAGACACAUGUCUGUGGGACUUGGGCUUGGGGACUAGUGAUGCCAAGAAGGGGUCUCUGAGGAGCUGCCUAUAGUUUCUGGGCUCAGCAGGAUGGCAGUCACACAACAGGCUCCAGAUCCCAGGGCUCGGGGGACGAUCUGUGAGGACCAGGACUGGGUGAGAUCUUGAAUGCAGUUCCUAGGCACAUAGUUUCCCAGUCUUCUCUUCUCCUUCUAGAUAUUCUGUGAACAUUACUAUCUUAUCACCAAGGAGUUGCCAUGAGAAUUACACGUGACACCAUGUGGGAGUCAGUUAUAGCAUACUGGUCAAAAUGUCCUUCUCCAUUCCACAAACCGGGUACCUGGGGACUUGUAUUCCAGGUGCAGGACCUGGGGGCCAGUGAAGAGUGGUCAGAGAGUGGAGGAGGCCACAUCUCUAUUAUGUGAAAAUUAGCUCACUUUACUCAGUACUGGAGGUAGGAGUAGGGGACUAGGGGCUCCAGGGGCUACUUAGACUGCCCUCCUCAGAAGGUGCAAGCUCUCUGGGAGCACUUUCUCAGCAAGUGCUCGGUCUGCAUUUCUCAGCAAGACAUCCAAUGGCAUUUUAGGCAGAAAAUUUCUGUUUCAUGCAUUCUUGUUCCUGGCCCCACCCAUUACAUGCUAAGUGCCAUUUUGAUCUCCCAAUAGUUGUGACUCCCUAAAUUCUUCUCUCCGUCCAGUUCCAGACAUCUCCAAAGAGCAUCAAAACCCUAGAUAAGAACCAUCGAAUUAUUACUGUAUUCUUCUGAUUACAUAUAAUACUCUUUCCAAAAAGAGUUUUGACAAGCACAUUUUUGGCUGUUUUCAUAACAUUUCUAGCAACGUUCUGUGUCCUGGUGAUACUUCAGUACACUUUACAAAUCAGUCCCUGAAGUCUACCUUCUCUUAAUCCAGCUCUACUUAAAUGGGGUUUGGAGUAUGUUACCAAAAAAGGCUCAGUGAUCACAGAGUUCAUCUCUGCUUGAUAUGACAAACAACCCAUCUCGAAGCCAAAUUUGAAGGGAAAAAACCCACUCAAUACUUAUUUUGUUUCCAGCAUUUGCAUUUACUGGAAGUCAGUGCUAUUUUGGGAAUGACUUUUCCUCCUAGAACCUUCUUCCCCAGGGACUUGAGUGCAGUCCCCAGGCAGGAAUCUGGUCCACUGGAGACCCCGCGAGGCAGUAUCUGCUGAGUGUGGACAACUCUGGUCACAGGAGAGGGUUUGUUUUGUAUUAAAUGACACCAAGGGUCCAAACUUACAGCAUGCUGAAAAUCCAGAGCCUUCUCAGCCACAUGCUUACAUGACUGUUGUUUCAAGUUAUGUGGCAAAUUAUUCAUAUUUGGUGGGCAGAGUGAUAGAAGCUUAAAGAUAGAAAUACCCGGUUUAGCUGUUUUUCUUUUUCUUUUCUUUUUUUUUUUUUUUGCAGGCCCUUCUUUUUCUUAAUAAGGGAAGAAAGUUAGAAGUGUUGACAUGACUAACCGGAUCAUCAUCAUGAUAGCAGCUCACAUCAUACUCUACUUAUCAUGAUUUCACUUAUAUUUGGAUAAGGCUUGUUUCUGUGCUGGUUUUCUUGUAGUCUACCUAACAUUUUAUUAUAACUAAUGUAUUUUCUAGUUAAAGGAUAGCUCACAAAUUAAAAUUCUUUUAGCUUUUCACCUUGGGAAAAAAAAUUUGCCAGGUGUGGUGGCUUAUGCCUGCAAUCUCAGCACUUUGGGAGGCUGAAGCUGGAGGACUGUUUGAGGCCAGGAGUUCGAGACUGGGGGGAGACAUAGUGAGACCCCACUGCUACAAAAGAUAAAAUAAAAAAGACACUGCUCUAACAUUAACCAUUCUAAAUAUUAGCUCAUUUGAACCUCAUGACAGUUUUAUUAGGUAGUUAUUAUCAUCGUUAUCACUGUUUUACAGAUGAGGAAAUGGAGGCGCAAAGAGAUUGAGACAUUAACCAAUAUAAAUAAUAGACAUCGCAAGUGGCAGAGUUAGGAUUUGAACUGUGGACCUUCAGCUCAGCGCCUCCGUGGUCUCGGCCAUUAUGCCAUUCACCUCAGGAGGUGGAAAUAGCAUCUGAAUCUGAAGUUUGUUUGCUGUGAGGCAUAGUAGACUUCCCCAUCUUUCUCUGUCUCUCUCUCCUUCCUUCCCCAUCACUUAUCUCUCUGUAAUUGAAGCUCCUUUCCACUGAGGCAGCUCCACAGUGCUUCCUGUCCCUGCUUCCUUCACAUCCUCACUUUGACAUUAACAUAUCCACUGCCUCUCAGUUUUUACUGCUGCCUUUCUUGCCAAAUACAAAUAAUGACUGUUCUUUUUACUGCUCCUUGUUUCUGGUGCAGCAGGACAAUGAGGGGAGCAUAGAUCAAUGUUUCUCAGAGCAUGGCUGUGGCGAGCCUUGAAAAGAGGGAGCCCUGGUAACAGGCCCAGAGGUAGAGGCAAUUUCCUUGCUUCAUUGAUGUCUCUCCCAGGGGCAAGAUUCUCAGUAGAGGAGCCAGCUCUGGAUUCAGAAGAAACAUUGAUGGUUUAAAUGAUGUGUGUGUGUGUGUGUGUGUGUGUGAAUAAUACUCUUUCAGUGAGGACACAGAGGUCUCAAGCUAGUUGAUUUCCUGACUAGCAAGUGUAGGGAGCACUGAUUAAGACAUAAGUUUAAGGCAUGAGUUAAAUAUUUUCUUGCUCUCAUAUUGGCCAGUGUGAGAGAGUGAAUGAAAACCCCAAAUGAAAGGCACCCACAUUCUAUGGAUGUCUUCUCUAGUCUUUUAUUUCCUCUCUAUUCUAGCCACAGCUCAAGUUUGCGUUUGAGCCAAGGAGGCUGAAUAAUUUUCCUUUGCGGAAAGACUUGUCAAAUUCUAUGCAAGUUGAUUCUGCUGAUUUGCAUGAGAGGAAAUAUAAUCUGAUGAAGAUGUAAAUGUACACAAUUGAUUUCUUAUCUGUAGGCUUUCUGUUUCUUAUUUGGACUCUGAUUUAAAUAGUCCCAUUUCAAGUAACUUAGAAAGACUUAAUGCAAUGCCAAGUGAUUACAUUUUUAGAGACUUAUCGUUGGUUAAUUCCAGCUUUCCUCCUUAUAUAUCAAUUCAUUUUGUCAUGCUUAAAACAAGAACUUUUGAGCAUUUAUAUUAAAAAUAUUAGGGAAGAUAGGAUGCAAAGAUAAAUAAGAAUGGGUGCUCCCUUCUAGGAGUAUACAGUGAAACACAUUUUAAAAUGCAUUUUGAAGUCUUUUGAAAUUUGGAAUGAAUUUGCCAUAUAAGCAAGGUUCUAACACAUUACAACUGUAUAACACUUUAUUGUUUACAAAAUACUACCAUAAUCCUAGGCAAGACAACUAAAGCUUCUUUAAUCCCUUAUUUAAUUGAAACAGUACAAGUGGAGACCAUUUUAAGUGUUAUUUCUCAGUCCUGUGAAAACCCAGAACUACCAUGUCUGAGAUCUUGAGCUGUUUCCACUUCAUUCUGCAGUGAAAUUACCAAUGCAUCAGGACAUGAGCCUGAAUGUCGGGCGAAGAGCAUCAGUAAUUCUGCACCCACUUUACAUAUGAAGAAGCUGAAGUCUUGCAAAGUGGCCCAAGGUCUCCCAGGGAUGACCUGCUGGAAGCAAGCUAUGAAUCUAAGUCUCACCCCAAAGCUGCCUGUGUUCUCUUGUGAAAAGAACCACAAGCCAAAAGUUGGAUCAAUACCCAAGGACAGACACCUCUCUAAGAGCUGUGAUUGAGCUUGGUAAGUAUUUCAGGAGCAAUUCAAAUAGAUUCUUUCAAAUCCUAAAAUGUGAAGUGAUAGCUUUUGUUUCUUUCAAUGGAGGGAAUGGGUUUAGAGUUUUAUAGAAAAUUGACUGAACACUUCAUUCUCCACUUCAUAUUGGCAGGCCAGG